RNAcentral lists this ribosomal RNA (253 nucleotides) under uncultured bacterium. RNAcentral describes it as "partial 16S ribosomal RNA". It matches the Rfam family "Bacterial small subunit ribosomal RNA", at positions 524 to 776 of the family's 1533-position model. The record is from RNAcentral.
GACGAAGGGGGCAAGCGUUGUUCGGAAUUACUGGGCGUAAAGGGCGCGUAGGCGGUUCUUUAAGUCAGGCGUGAAAGCCCUGGGCUCAACCUGGGAGUGGCGCUUGAUACUGGAGGACUAGAGAGUGGGAGAGGUUGGUGGAAUUCCCAGUGUAGAGGUGAAAUUCGUAGAUAUUGGGAGGAAUACCGGUGGCGAAGGCGACCACCUGGACGGAGAUUGACGCUGAGGUGCGAAAGCGUGGGUAGCAAACAGG